AUCAGCGUUAUACAGCUGAACUCUUUGUUUAGCUCUUCCUAGAGGAAUCUGGAAAUCUGUUUGUGCUCUUCAGAGGCGUUUCUGACCACUAGAAACUUCCAUAGAACUUUCCACAGAGCUUUGUCAAAGGUAUCCAGCACAAAUGAACAGAAGUUUCUGAUGUAUGCAUAUCUUACAAUGGAGUACCAUGGAUGGAGUUGGUUCUGUAAUCUUUUAAAACCACCUCAACUCUCAUACUUACCUUGGAUCAGCCAUCCCACCUUGAGGAUUUUAGAGGAUAUUUUCAAAGUGUCUUCUCUUUAUCACCACCCAAUGUUGUGUUACCUAGUGAGAAGCAUGUUGAACAUGGAGACUCUCACUCAUCAGAGAUGACAGUUGGGUUCUCGGGGCUGUGCUGUGCGCUGCUGGCUAUGGACACUGAGAGGGCAACACCUGCUCCUCUGCAGCUAACCUCCUUCCAGGAUACAGAAAGACAUCACAGACAACCCCCUCCUUUUCUUUCCUCUUACCAGACAGUCUUGCUCACUGACCCAAUCCACAUCUUCUGCUCUGUGGUCUCCAGAUCCUCACUGACCUGACCAAGAACACUGACUUACACAACUGCCAACACCUCAAGAACCAUCUGUAUUUCUGUUUCUCUCCCCAUCUCCGUCUCUCUUCAGAUCGCUGUGUGUGCAAUGCCCAAUUUCUUUUUAAACAGAGUGUGAGUUAAGCUGUGCCUCUAUAUUUUGGCAAAGAUAAAUGGGAAAGAGGUUAGAUGAACAUGUCUAAUUCUAGGAUGUCUGAUAUCAACUGAAUUUAGGAGGAAAAAAAUAAUGAUUUAGGAUCACAAGAAAAACAACUUUUUAUUAAUUGUGACAAACUCCAUUGUGUGGAUAUGUGAGCUUUGAGAUCGGUAAACUGCUCAUUUAAACAAUUGUGUAUAAUAUUUAGCAAUAUAAUUUACUUGGUUUUAUGCUAUAUCAAUUUACUGACAUGAAAUCUGGAUUAUUUUGCUUUUACAUAAAAUGUUAAUUUAAUUUUCUCUAAACAACACAUUUUAAUAGCAAUUUCACUGAUGUUUAGACAAGAAUAAAAACAUCAUGAAAUAUAUAACAUGUACAUAUAAAAAUAAGAAAAUGGCAAUGAAAAACCAAGCCUGUCUCCUCACUUGUAGUAGUUCUAUUAGUUCAUUGCUGCACUCACACUGCUCUGUCAUUUGAGUCUGUUACACCAGUAAACUGCCUUGUUACCCCUGUG
Molecule: long non-coding RNA, 1239 nt
Organism: Carassius gibelio (silver crucian carp)
Lineage: Eukaryota; Metazoa; Chordata; Actinopteri; Cypriniformes; Cyprinidae
Exons: 4
Source: RefSeq, a predicted model, not a curated record